ACGCGUGAGCAACCUGCCUUUAACAGGGGAAUAACGCAUCGAAAGAUGUGCUAAUACCGCAUAAGACCACAGCAUCACAUGGUGCAGGGGUCAAAGGAGCAAUCCGGUUAAAGAUGGGCUCGCGUCCGAUUAGCUGGUUGGUGAGACAACAGCCCACCAAGGCGACGAUCGGUAGCCGACCUGAGAGGGUGAUCGGCCACAUUGGAACUGAGAUACGGUCCAGACUCCUACGGGAGGCAGCAGUGGGGAAUAUUGGGCAAUGGGCGAAAAACGCCUCGACCCAGCAACGCCGCGUGAGGGAAGAAGGGUUUCGGCUCGUAAACCUCUGUCCUAUGGGACGAAGGAAGUGACGGUACCAUAGGAGGAAGCCCGGCUAACUACGUGCCAGCCGCAGC
This 395-nucleotide ribosomal RNA is filed under the name uncultured bacterium. RNAcentral's name for it is "bacterial SSU rRNA". It matches the Rfam family "Bacterial small subunit ribosomal RNA", at positions 113 to 518 of the family's 1533-position model. The record is from RNAcentral.